GAUGAGCGCUGGCGGCGUGCUUAACACAUGCAAGUCGAACGGUGAAGCUCCAGCUUGCUGGAGUGGAUCAGUGGCGAACGGGUGAGUAACACGUGAGCAACCUGCCCCUGACUCUGGGAUAACAGCCGGAAACGGCUGCUAAUACCGGAUAUGCACCAUGAACGCAUGUUCUGUGGUGGGAAAGAUUUUUCGGUUGGGGAUGGGCUCGCGGCCUAUCAGCUUGUUGGUGAGGUAAUGGCUCACCAAGGCGUCGACGGGUAGCCGGCCUGAGAGGGUGACCGGCCACACUGGGACUGAGACACGGCCCAGACUCCUACGGGAGGCAGCAGUGGGGAAUAUUGCACAAUGGGCGAAAGCCUGAUGCAGCAACGCCGCGUGAGGGAUGACGGCCUUCGGGUUGUAAACCUCUUUUAGCAGGGAAGAAGCGAGAGUGACGGUACCUGCAGAAAAAGCGCCGGCUAACUACGUG
This 469-nucleotide ribosomal RNA is filed under the name uncultured bacterium. RNAcentral's name for it is "partial 16S ribosomal RNA". It matches the Rfam family "Bacterial small subunit ribosomal RNA", at positions 28 to 507 of the family's 1533-position model. The record is from RNAcentral.